AUGCACUUGCCCGAACGAAUCGCCACCGUCAUUCGUUCCUACGUCGCUCAAUCCCCUCGCAGCCGCCGCCGAUCCCCUCCCCCAUCUCCGCCCGUAGCUGCCGCCCCCGCCACCUCCAGCCGCGGCCGUCGCGCCCACCUCCAGCCGCGGCCGCCGCCCCACCUCCAGCUCGACUCCACGAUCCCCUUCCUAUCGAUCGCCCAUGCCCCCACCGCUUCGCAUCUGAUCGCCACCAGCGCCCGUGCUCUUCCGGCCGCCGGCCGCCAUGCAGUCCUCCACGCCGGACCUUCGCGUUGCGUUCCUCCGCGCGAGGCCGCCGCCGCUGCAGCAGCUCUCUCGGAUCCAACACGAAGCUUGCGACGAAGGGCUUGGAGUUGA
This 378-nucleotide ribosomal RNA is filed under the name Triticum aestivum (bread wheat). RNAcentral's name for it is "partial small subunit ribosomal RNA". Lineage: Eukaryota; Viridiplantae; Streptophyta; Magnoliopsida; Poales; Poaceae. The record is from RNAcentral.